RNAcentral lists this ribosomal RNA (479 nucleotides) under uncultured anaerobic ammonium-oxidizing bacterium. Its description in RNAcentral is "bacterial SSU rRNA". It matches the Rfam family "Bacterial small subunit ribosomal RNA", at positions 364 to 833 of the family's 1533-position model. The record is from RNAcentral.
UUUCGCAAUGCCCGAAAGGGUGACGAAGCGACGCCGCGUGAGUGAGGAAGGCCUUCGGGUUGUAAAGCUCUGUCAGGAGUUAAGAAAUAUAAGUGUGCUAAUACCACAUUUAUUUGACGAAGGCUCCAAAGGAAGCCACGGCUAACUCUGUGCCAGCAGCCGCGGUAAUACAGAGGUGGCAAGCGUUGUUCGGAAUUAUUGGGCGUAAAGAGCACGUAGGUGGGUUUGUAAGUCAGAUGUGAAAGCCUUCUGUUCAACGGAAGAAUUGCAUCUGAAACUGCGAGUCUUGAGUGUAGGAGGGGAGAAUGGAACUUCUGGUGGAGCGGUGAAAUGCGUAGAUAUCAGAAGGAACGCCGGCGGCGAAAGCGAUUCUCUGGCCUAUUACUGACACUCAGUGUGCGAAAGCUGGGGGAGCAAACGGGAUUAGAUACCCCGGUAGUCCUAGCCGUAAACGAUGGGCACUAAGUAGAGGGGUUUUA